RNAcentral lists this ribosomal RNA (774 nucleotides) under uncultured Streptococcus sp. RNAcentral describes it as "bacterial SSU rRNA". It matches the Rfam family "Bacterial small subunit ribosomal RNA", at positions 28 to 776 of the family's 1533-position model. The record is from RNAcentral. Lineage: Bacteria; Bacillati; Bacillota; Bacilli; Lactobacillales; Streptococcaceae.
GACGAACGCUGGCGGCGUGCCUAAUACAUGCAAGUAGAACGCACAGUUUAUACCGUAGCUUGCUACACCAUAGACUGUGAGUUGCGAACGGGUGAGUAACGCGUAGGUAACCUGCCUGGUAGCGGGGGAUAACUAUUGGAAACGAUAGCUAAUACCGCAUAAUAUUAAUUAUUGCAUGAUAAUUGAUUGAAAGGUGCAAUUGCACCACUACCAGAUGGACCUGCGUUGUAUUAGCUAGUAGGUGAGGUAACGGCUCACCUAGGCGACGAUACAUAGCCGACCUGAGAGGGUGAUCGGCCACACUGGGACUGAGACACGGCCCAGACUCCUACGGGAGGCAGCAGUAGGGAAUCUUCGGCAAUGGACGAAAGUCUGACCGAGCAACGCCGCGUGAGUGAAGAAGGUUUUCGGAUCGUAAAGCUCUGUUGUAAGAGAAGAACGGGUGUGAGAGUGGAAAGUUCACACUGUGACGGUAUCUUACCAGAAAGGGACGGCUAACUACGUGCCAGCAGCCGCGGUAAUACGUAGGUCCCGAGCGUUGUCCGGAUUUAUUGGGCGUAAAGCGAGCGCAGGCGGUUAGAUAAGUCUGAAGUUAAAGGCUGUGGCUUAACCAUAGUACGCUUUGGAAACUGUUUAACUUGAGUGCAGAAGGGGAGAGUGGAAUUCCAUGUGUAGCGGUGAAAUGCGUAGAUAUAUGGAGGAACACCGGUGGCGAAAGCGGCUCUCUGGUCUGUAACUGACGCUGAGGCUCGAAAGCGUGGGGGAGCGAACAGG